CAUUCUUUUACUAAAAACAUAGCCACCGCCAAUGCAUUAGAGGGCAUAUCUUGAUGUUAUAACCUUAUGGAAGUCCAAUAGAAGCUUAUUUAUAGAUGGUACUCCUUUUAAAUUUCAAAAAAUGUUUAGCAUGUGCUCCCCUCCCUCUUUGUUGGUGCUGCCUAUCACAAAUUGUUACAUUUGGAGGGACUGCAACUAUCUAACUCCCUUUAUGGAUGGAGAUUUACAACCUAAUGGCCCAACUUUGAGAUAAUCAUAUUCCUAACCAACCAGCCACUGCUUUGCUCUUGUGGUUUCCACUGUACAUUCCUUAUGAAGCUCAAGUUUUGGCAAUUCAUUUAUUUUUGGUGGCUGAUAGGAAAUACAUGGAAAUCUUAUCUAUGACUUACAUUAACCAAAUUGCUUCUAAAGACCCAAACUAAUUGUAUGAAAAAUGUGCUGCAUAUUCAACGUAACAUAAAUGCAAACUUGGAAAUGGCAGCCAGUAGGUGCCGAAACAUUGGGGGUAUUGGGGGCUCGUGUUUCUGCCAGAAUAGGCAAUUAUUACUGUUUGUUUUGUUAUGCUUAUAUAUUGUAACUUUAUAUUUUGCAUUAUGCUUAUUGUACCAAUUAUUGUUUUAUUAAAGUAUUUGCAUAACUCUUUGUAGUGAUUCUAGUGUGCAUUCUCUAUUUGAUAUAUUCUAAAGAGUUUUAUUUAACCAUGAAAAUAUUUGUUCAACAAAAACAAAUCGUGUCAAAAAUAUACCAAAAAGACAAACGAUGAUUUUCAUAGAAAUGGUCCUCAUAGAGAACUGGAUGUCAUCUGACAUGUUCAUCAUUAUAAAGUCAUCAAAGUAAAUAAGACAAUAUAAACAUACAGCAAACAUGUAUGUAAGAGACUCCACUGAUAUAGUUCACAGAUGUUCACACUGUAGAAAUGAAAACUAUUCAAACCAAUAAUCAAGGGUCAUCAUCUGUCCUGAUCUUGGGGGUUGGCAAUAAAAGUAGAAAUACAGCAGAGCACUGGGAAGAAGAGUUCUGCCCUAAAUGUAAUCUAUCAUUUCACAAUUAUUCACUACAGUGUGAAUUGUUGGGAAUUUAAAGAAAUUACAAAGCGAAUUUCAAAUUUGAGGCCACAAUAGUUGAAGUGGAUAAGUUCUCAUAGUUAUACAUACAGUAUAAGGUGGAGUAUAUAAAUAGGAAUUCUUCCAAGUGUAAUUUAAAACAGGAUAAUGUUCUUUAACAAUUCCCUAAAAAUGAACACAAAUAGGGAAAAAGAAUAGUGCAAUAUUGCCAAUACACAAUGUAUAAUUGUAGUAAAUAGGUAGUGGAGCACUCACAAACAUAGAGCCACUAGGUAGGCUCAAAG
Molecule: non-coding RNA, 1348 nt
Organism: Pelobates cultripes (western spadefoot toad)
Lineage: Eukaryota; Metazoa; Chordata; Amphibia; Anura; Pelobatidae
Source: the annotation of a GenBank genome assembly